UGGGGAAUAUUGCACAAUGGGCGAAAGCCUGAUGCAGCCAUGCCGCGUGUGUGAAGAAGGCUCUAGGGUUGUAAAGCACUUUCAGCGAGGAGGAAAGGUUGUUGGUUAAUACCCAAUAGCUGUGACGUUACUCGCAGAAGAAGCACCGGCUAACUCCGUGCCAGCAGCCGCGGUAAUACGGAGGGUGCGAGCGUUAAUCGGAAUUACUGGGCGUAAAGCGUGCGUAGGCGGCAUGGUCAGUCGGAUGUGAAAGCCCCGGGCUUAACCUGGGAAUUGCAUUCGAAACUACUAAGCUAGAGUAUGCUAGAGGAAAGUGGAAUUCCCGGUGUAGCGGUGAAAUGCGUAGAUAUCGGGAGGAACAUCAAUGGCGAAGGCAGCUUUCUGGAGCAAUACUGACGCUGAGGUACGAAAGCGUGGGGAGCAAACAGG
Molecule: ribosomal RNA, 429 nt
Filed under: uncultured bacterium
Lineage: Bacteria
Description: bacterial SSU rRNA
Rfam family: Bacterial small subunit ribosomal RNA
Source: RNAcentral